Long non-coding RNA from Cercocebus atys (sooty mangabey), 986 nucleotides. RefSeq lists it as uncharacterized. The transcript has 3 exons. Lineage: Eukaryota; Metazoa; Chordata; Mammalia; Primates; Cercopithecidae. The record is from RefSeq and is a predicted model, not a curated record.
AUGGACUUGGGCCCCGUCCACCUACCUGGGUAUGCUGCCGCAGGCUGCUCCUCCGUGGCGCUCCCCUCAGGCCUGUGGAGAUGACACAGCUUCUGACAAGGCAGAGGCCCCCCCGGUGCAGCCGAGAAGACCAUGAAGGGUGAGAAAGACCCGAAGCCCCUGAGAGGCGGCGACGCCGGAGCCUGCAGGGAGCAACUGAGGAGCAGCGGGGGUCUCAGCAAGAGGGACCAGGAGGCCCGGCGGGGGCACGGUGUCCCCUCGGAGGGACAGAGGUCCAGGGUCACCUGGGAGUGCCAUGGCUGGGAAAGGAGAGCCCCAGGUGUGCUGGGCUGUGUCCGGAAUCACCCAUCCAAUGGACCUGGGGAAGCCUGCUGGCGCCAUCCCACAGCCUCCUCCCGCUGCCCUGUCCUCUGUGGCUGGCCAGUUCCUGUCAUUCGUGGCUCAAGGGGGUCAAGAGCCCACCCAGAGCUGGGAGAAAGCCAAGGGCUCCUUGACUGGCCAUGUUCUCCCCAUCGAUAAACCUAAAUCCUACAGGCAGCAACUGGGUGAAAAAGAAUGAAAGACAGAAGACUGAAAUGACUCCAUUUCGAGUGGGGAGAAUGGGUCUUGCCGGGCCCCAGGACCCAUGUAAGACACAGGAGUGCGGGCAAGGAGGGGAAGCGGGGUACGUAAUUCAGCACCGAGAGUAACUAGUCUGCCAGGCUGCCAGCCUUAGAGAAAGAAGCAGGAUUACAGGAAUCCUGAGUUUCCACAGAACCCCCAGGGCUUUGGGGAAACACAGGCAGAGCCAGGAAAGAGCUCGGGAGUCUCGGCCUAGGGAGGAGGCAGAUUCGCAGGCAUCAGUGCCCCACGGGCGGCGAGCAGGCCCGAGGCCAGCGUCCACGCAGUGUCCACGCAGGCAUGGGUGCCCCACGGGCGGCGAGCAGGCCCGAGGCCAGCGUCCACGCAGUGUCCACGCAGGCAUGGGUGCCCCACGGGCGGCGAGC